Long non-coding RNA from Rhipicephalus sanguineus (brown dog tick), 456 nucleotides. RefSeq lists it as uncharacterized. The transcript has 2 exons. Lineage: Eukaryota; Metazoa; Arthropoda; Arachnida; Ixodida; Ixodidae. The record is from RefSeq and is a predicted model, not a curated record.
CCGGGGCAUCGCAAGACGGUCGGCAGCACGGUGCUGCGCCUCCCCAGGAAGUUCCAGCACUAGCCAGAAAGCCAACACCCGCCAGAGCAAGCGCAAGAGAAGCAAGAGCUCCAUCCCGGUCAGGAACUGAAGCUCUUGACACGGCACCGCGCCUGCCUUACUUAAAAUUCUGUAUAGGUUCCUCUGCAGAAGCGUACCUGGAAAGGGAGCUAGAAGAGAAGCUCUUCUCUGCAUUUCUUAAAAGAAUACUCGGACAGUAUUUUUAUUUUAUAUGUGCAUGUACAAAAAAAAAAUUUUGUGUGUGGCAAUGAACGUUUUAUUAUAAUAGACUGUGUUUUGCGUUUAAUUUCAUUUUGAGGCUAGCGUCUCUUGUGUUACUCGAUGAAGCGCACUACAAUUUAACGCGCAAUGUGUGAAAUGUUGUUCAAGUCCUGAACAUAUUUUUAUUUUAUGUGU